CGCAGUGACACGGGGUGCUUUCCCCUCCCGGGGAAGGCUGAGAUGACACCCGUCGAACCUGAUCCAGUCAACACUGGCGAAGGGAUGUCCGGUCCUCGCACG
This 102-nucleotide non-coding RNA is filed under the name Corynebacterium frankenforstense. RNAcentral's name for it is "TPP sequence". It matches the Rfam family "TPP riboswitch aptamer (THI element)". Rfam says of the family: Vitamin B(1) in its active form thiamin pyrophosphate (TPP) is an essential coenzyme that is synthesised by coupling of pyrimidine and thiazole moieties in bacteria. RNAcentral also lists the same sequence under 1 other name. The record is from RNAcentral. Lineage: Bacteria; Bacillati; Actinomycetota; Actinomycetes; Mycobacteriales; Corynebacteriaceae.